CCAGACUCCUACGGGAGGCAGCAGUGGGGAAUAUUGCAAAAUGGGGGAAACCCUGAUGCAGCGACGCCGCGUGAGCGAUGAAGUAUUUCGGUAUGUAAAGCUCUAUCAGCAGGGAAGAAAAUGACGGUACCUGACUAAGAAGCCCCGGCUAACUACGUGCCAGCAGUCGCGGUAAUACGUAGGGGGCAAGCGUUAUCCGAAUUUACUGGGUGUAAAGGGAGCGUAGACGGUAAGGCAAGUCAGAUGUGAAAGCCCGGGGCUCAACCGCGGGACUGCAUUUGAAACUGUCCUACUGGAGUGCAGGAGAGGUAAGUGGAAUUCCUAGUGUAGCGGUGAAAUGCGUAGAUAUUAGGAGGAACACCAGUGGCGAAGGCGGUCUGCUGGACAGCAACUGACGCUGAGGCGCGAAAGCGUGGGGAGCAAACAGGAUUAGAUACCCUAGUAA
Molecule: ribosomal RNA, 445 nt
Filed under: uncultured bacterium
Lineage: Bacteria
Description: bacterial SSU rRNA
Rfam family: Bacterial small subunit ribosomal RNA
Source: RNAcentral